CUCGAGUGGCGAACGGGUGAGUAACACGUGGGUGAUCUGCCCUGCACUUCGGGAUAAGCUUGGGAAACUGGGUCUAAUACCGGAUAGGAGCCAUCUUUAGUGUGGUGGUUGGAAAGUUUUUUCGGUGUAGGAUGAGCUCGCGGCCUAUCAGCUUGUUGGUGGGGUAAUGGCCUACCAAGGCGGCGACGGGUAGCCGGCCUGAGAGGGUGUACGGCCACAUUGGGACUGAGAUACGGCCCAGACUCCUACGGGAGGCAGCAGUGGGGAAUAUUGCACAAUGGGCGCAAGCCUGAUGCAGCGACGCCGCGUGGGGGAUGAAGGCCUUCGGGUUGUAAACUCCUUUCGCUAGGGACGAAGCUUUGUGUGACGGUACCUAGAUAAGAAGCACCGGCUAACUACGUGCCAGCAGCCGCGGUAAUACGUAGGGUGCGAGCGUUGUCCGGAAUUACUGGGCGUAAAGAGCUCGUAGGUGGUUUGUCGCGUCGUCUGUGAAAUUCUGGGGCUUAACUCCGGGCGUGCAGGCGAUACGGGCAUAACUUGAGUGCUGUAGGGGUAACUGGAAUUCCUGGUGUAGCGGUGAAAUGCGCAGAUAUCAGGAGGAACACCGAUGGCGAAGGCAGGUUACUGGG
This 629-nucleotide ribosomal RNA is filed under the name uncultured Actinomycetales bacterium. RNAcentral's name for it is "bacterial SSU rRNA". It matches the Rfam family "Bacterial small subunit ribosomal RNA", at positions 90 to 733 of the family's 1533-position model. Lineage: Bacteria; Bacillati; Actinomycetota; Actinomycetes; Actinomycetales. The record is from RNAcentral.